UCUUUAACAAGAUGUUGUGCUUCUUCUUGACGAUGUUUUGAGAAGGAUUCAAGUCUCUUUGUAGUUAGUAAGUGUUCCAUGCAAAUUCUUCUCAUUCGCUUCCAAUGAGGUCCUAAUGGUGCCAAUGCAACAUCACCACACCCAUAUGCUAAAUGAAUUGCAGCAAGAGUGCGUGGACGAGAGGCAAAAACAUCAUCUUGAGAAAGAAGUAUUUCACGUAUAAUAUCAGGGUCAUUAGUAGUAAUAGCAUCAAUAUUUCCUAAUUUUAAAUAAACUAAGGGUCCAUAUUUAUCGCAUAAUGAUGCUAAGUCUCUAUGAGGAAGUUGCCCUAAUUGGAGAAGGUUACCAACAAUAGGCCACCUUGGUGGGCCAGGAGGAAGGUUAUUUUUCUUAUCCAAAGAUGGAGAUUUUCCUAUAUGCCUAUCUCGAAUGAUUUUUGAGACUAAUAUUGUUAGGAGUAAGGUUAAGGCAAGUAUGGUCAAUACCAUUUUCUAAGAUCAAUCACUUCAUAUGAAGAAAGCAAAUUUGUUUUCUCC
This 536-nucleotide long non-coding RNA is filed under the name Medicago truncatula (barrel medic). RNAcentral's name for it is "lncRNA gene42210". Lineage: Eukaryota; Viridiplantae; Streptophyta; Magnoliopsida; Fabales; Fabaceae. The record is from RNAcentral.